GUGUUAAAACAUAACCAAACACUCCAGGACCUUGGGAAAGAAAUCUGUAUCAGACAUGUGGGCUUCAUUAAGGGAAAUGCCUUCAGAAGAUUAUUUUUCCAUGUUAUGAGAAAAAAUCUCAACAACCACAGCAGAUGUUCCAGUGCCCAGGUGACCUAGAAGCUUCAUGUGGAGGUGAUGGAACUUCAGUAGGCCUGGAAGUGAUGCAGUAUCUUCUGCCCUCAAUCUUGUGAUGAAUGUUUUCUCAGUAUCCUAUGCUGAAAACAGGUAGAUACUAAUAUCGAUCUUCAAGGGAGGGCUGUUGAGUAUUGAAUAAGACAAAAACAUGGAAGCAAUCAGCACCAUGCUGGAGAGCCUUUAUAUAACCAAAGAUAUUUUUGGACCAUGAAUUCAGAAAUUCUCGGAGCCACCCAUCAGUGCCUGAGCUUCAGUGAGUCCAUAUCCCAUGUCACCCACGGCAAAGGAGACUCUAAGACUUCUGAAGAGUUUCUUGCUUCUUUCCUGUGGGGCAGUGACUCCACUUCCCAGCAGUAAUGGAAUAUCCUGAAUUAGCUACAUUAAUGUUAGAACCAUUUGGACCUCACCCAGGACUUCAACUACAUUAUGAGUAACUCCUGGACGAUUGGCACAGAAGAAGGCACAAGGCAAAUACCCAUCUCUGUACACCCUGUGCUACUGUGUCAUGUGCUGCUCCAGGCAACUCCAAUGGAUUGGCCACCCUGGCCAAUGUGUUCUAGUAUGUUACGUUUAUGUUCCCCUGCUUUCUACAAUCCUGUUCAAAGAGUUGCUGACUUAACCACAGAGAGGAUUCCAGAACCUGAGACACAGAAUAAACUUGAGCAAUCAUAGUCCAUCCACUUCAUUGUCUCAUCAAAAACCAAAGGUCCAGUGAAGCUCUGGAACUCAACGCUGUAAAGGAGCGAAGGAGCUUCUAUACAGA
RNAcentral lists this long non-coding RNA (940 nucleotides) under Homo sapiens (human). RNAcentral's name for it is "STARD13 antisense RNA". Lineage: Eukaryota; Metazoa; Chordata; Mammalia; Primates; Hominidae. The record is from RNAcentral.